This 667-nucleotide long non-coding RNA is filed under the name Salvia miltiorrhiza (redroot sage). RNAcentral describes it as "long non-coding RNA (SMIL_LNC009100)". The record is from RNAcentral. Lineage: Eukaryota; Viridiplantae; Streptophyta; Magnoliopsida; Lamiales; Lamiaceae.
GUUGUACGAAAUUAAUAAGGGCAUCAUCAAUUGUUAGGACUAGAGUACCUUUAACACUAAAAUAAUACAGUAAAUGGUAAACAUUAAUCUUGUCUUAUAAUAUCAUAUGUGACGUGAAGAUGGUCCGGUACAAAAAAAAUAUAUAUAUAUUAAUAAAAUGAAAGAAGGCAUAGGUAGUGAUGAAAAGAGAUGCACGUGAACUUUGAUGCAACUGCAAGCAUCUCUUAAUUCCUUUGCAGCUUCCACAGAAACAUGAGCAUCUAAAACGGCGUCAAGGUUGUCGGCUUCCAUGUGCACUAGAAAAUGUAGUAUAAUAUAAUUAAGUUUAAUAUAAUUAAGUUUAAUUAGAAGUUGAAAUUAAUCAAUGCAUGCAUGUAAAAAUUAUGAAGGAAUUGAAUUAAUAAUAUACCUGUUCCUUUUUCAACAGCGUUGGGCAGUGGAGUGAAGGGGACCUUGUCGCAUUCCGGCUGGCUGCUCUCGGCGCCUCCGGCCAUCACCAAAAUCGCAACGCACGCAAUUAUCCAUAUCGUCGCCAUCACAAUAGCAGAGAGAGAGAGAGAGAGAGGUGUUUGAGGUGUGAGGAAGUGGGAGAGAUCGAGAGAGAGUUGUUUGAGGUGUGAAGAAUUGUGAAGGGAUGAGCUCUUAUUUGUAAGGAGAAAUUUUGAGG